UACGUAGGGUGCGAGCGUUGUCCGGAAUUACUGGGCGUAAAGCGCACGUAGGCGGAUUGUUAAGUCGGGGGUGAAAGCCUGUGGCUCAACCACAGAAUUGCCUUCGAUACUGUAGAGCUUGAGACCGGAAGAGGUAAGUGGAACUGCGAGUGUAGAGGUGAAAUUCGUAGAUAUUCGCAAGAACACCAGUGGCGAAGGCGGCUUACUGGUCCGGUUCUGACGCUGAGGCGCGAAAGCGUGGGGAGCAAACAGG
RNAcentral lists this ribosomal RNA (253 nucleotides) under uncultured bacterium. RNAcentral describes it as "partial 16S ribosomal RNA". It matches the Rfam family "Bacterial small subunit ribosomal RNA", at positions 524 to 776 of the family's 1533-position model. The record is from RNAcentral.